RNAcentral lists this ribosomal RNA (429 nucleotides) under Acidobacteriota bacterium. Its description in RNAcentral is "Acidobacteria bacterium partial 16S ribosomal RNA". It matches the Rfam family "Bacterial small subunit ribosomal RNA", at positions 355 to 776 of the family's 1533-position model. Lineage: Bacteria; Pseudomonadati; Acidobacteriota. The record is from RNAcentral.
UGGGGAAUUUUGGACAAUGGGGGCAACCCUGAUCCAGCAAUGCCGCGUGUGUGAAGAAGGCCUUCGGGUUGUAAAGCACUUUUGUCCGGGAAGAAAUCGCACCUGAUAAUACCGGGUGUGGAUGACGGUACCGGAAGAAUAAGGACCGGCUAACUACGUGCCAGCAGCCGCGGUAAUACGUAGGGUACAAGCGUUGAUCGGAAUUACUGGGCGUAAAGCGUGCGCAGGCGGUUGUGCAAGACCGAUGUGAAAUCCCCGGGCUUAACCUGGGAAUUGCAUUGGUGACUGCACGGCUAGAGUGUGUCAGAGGGGGGUAAAAUUCCACGUGUAGCAGUGAAAUGCGUAGAGAUGUGGAGGAAUACCGAUGGCGAAGGCAGCCCCCUGGGAUAACACUGACGCUCAUGCACGAAAGCGUGGGGAGCAAACAGG